AUUCUUGCUGUUGGGUUGUGUUGGAAAUAUAUAGAAAUGCUGAUGCUUUAUGUGGGUUUAUUUUGUUUCCUGCAACUUUGCUAAAGUUGUUGGUUAUUUCCACUAGCUUUUUAGUUGAUUCGCUAGGAUUCUUUAAGUAGACCAUGUGGAAAGGAAACAAGACUGACAGUUUGUGGGGGAAGGGCCCAACUGGGAGUGGCAGUUGGGUCUUGUGACUAGCACUUCCUUCCUGCCGGGUGGGACUUGCCUCCGGGUGUUGGAGGAAGAAGGAGCUGAUCAGCCAGUCUGGAGUGCUAUGCUCUUUCUUGGUUCAGCCUGAAGAUUCAAGUCCAAUCUCUUCUGAAGGUGGUAGAUUGGCACGGAAAGGGAAUUGAAGCAAGAAAACCAAUUGGAAGGCUAUUGCAACAGCACAAGUAAGAGAUGAUAAGAACCUGAACUAGGAUAGUAACUAUAUGAGUGGAGAGAAGAUGAUGAAAGCAAGGUAAAAUAAGUUUCCCAUGGUUCCAGAGCUCGUGAGUGCCCAAGUCAAGAUUCAAAUCUUGGGCUUCCAACUCCAAAUCCUGACCUAUUUCAACUCUUCCCACACACCCUGCUAUGUGAGUAAGGUCACCUCAAGUUCAAGAUGAUAAUGAGAUGGGUAUGUGAUUGUAAUGUGAUAGUAUUGUGUCAUAAGAAAUGAUGAACUGGAUGAUCACAAAGAAUCCUGGAAAGAAUUUUUUUGAAGUAAUGCAAAGUCAAGAGAGCAGAGCUAGGAGAACAUCAUGUAGAGUAUCAAAAAUAAUGAGUAAUGAUCAGCUAUGAAUGACUUCAUUAUUAUGAACAAUGCAAGGAUCUAAGACAACUCCCAGGAACUCAUGACGAAAUCAGUUACUGACCACCAUAGAAGGAACUGAUGCAGAUUGAAGCAUACAGUUUCUUCACUUUAUUUCCUUCAUGAAU
RNAcentral lists this long non-coding RNA (939 nucleotides) under Monodelphis domestica (gray short-tailed opossum). RNAcentral's name for it is "lncRNA (ENSMODG00000046934.1)". Lineage: Eukaryota; Metazoa; Chordata; Mammalia; Didelphimorphia; Didelphidae. The record is from RNAcentral.